RNAcentral lists this microRNA (22 nucleotides) under Monodelphis domestica (gray short-tailed opossum). RNAcentral's name for it is "Mdo-Mir-7395_5p* (star (passenger))". The record is from RNAcentral. Lineage: Eukaryota; Metazoa; Chordata; Mammalia; Didelphimorphia; Didelphidae.
UACACCUAUACUCCGGUAACAU